CCUACGUGGCGCAGCAGUGGGGAAUAUUGCACAAUGGGGGAAACCCUGAUGCAGCAACGCCGCGUGAGCGAUGACGGCCUUCGGGUGGUAAAGUCCUGCCUUCAGGGACGAUAAUGACGGUACCUGCGGAGGAAGCCACGGCUAACUCCGUGCCAGCAGCCGCGGUAAUACGUAGGUGGCGAGCGUUGUCCGGAUUCAUUGGGCGUAAAGGGUGCGUAGGCGGACUGUAAAGUGAGAUGUGAAAUACUCGGGCUCAACUUGUGUGCUGCAUUUCAUACUGGAAGUCUGGAGUGCAGGAGAGGAGAAUGGAAUUCCUAGUGUAGCGGUGAAAUGCGUAGAGAUUAGGAAGAACACCAGUGGCGAAGGCGAUUCACUGGACUGUAACUGACGCUGAGGCUCGAAAGCGUGGGGAGCAAACGGGAUUAGGUACCCCUGUAGUC
RNAcentral lists this ribosomal RNA (440 nucleotides) under uncultured bacterium. RNAcentral describes it as "partial 16S ribosomal RNA". It matches the Rfam family "Bacterial small subunit ribosomal RNA", at positions 338 to 795 of the family's 1533-position model. The record is from RNAcentral.